Molecule: ribosomal RNA, 520 nt
Filed under: uncultured Glomus
Lineage: Eukaryota; Fungi; Glomeromycota; Glomeromycetes; Glomerales; Glomeraceae
Description: SSU rRNA
Rfam family: Eukaryotic small subunit ribosomal RNA
Source: RNAcentral
AGCAGCCGCGGUAAUUCCAGCUCCAAUAGCGUAUAUUAAAGUUGUUGCAGUUAAAAAGCUCGUAGUUGAAUUUCGGGAUCAAUACGUCGGUCGUGCUUCGGUACGUACUGGCGUAAUUGAUUUCUCCCUUCUGACGAACCAUGAUGUCAUUAACUUGGUGUCAUGGGAAAUCAGGACUGUUACUUUGAAAAAAUUAGAGUGUUUAAAGCAGGCUCACGCUUGAAUACAUUAGCAUGGAAUAAUGAAAUAGGACGUUCGAUCCUAUUUUGUUGGUUUUUGGGAUCAACGUAAUGAUUAAUAGGGAUAGUUGGGGGCAUUAGUAUUCAAUUGUCAGAGGUGAAAUUCUUGGAUUUAUUGAAGACUAACUACUGCGAAAGCAUUUGCCAAGGAUGUUUUCAUUAAUCAAGAACGAAAGUUAGGGGAUCGAAGACGAUCAGAUACCGUCGUAGUCUUAACCAUAAACUAUGCCGACUAGGGAUCGGAUGAUGUUAAUUUUUAAUGACUCAUUCGGCGCCUUACG